RNAcentral lists this long non-coding RNA (334 nucleotides) under Phoenix dactylifera (date palm). Its description in RNAcentral is "long non-coding RNA (PDAC_LNC002028)". The record is from RNAcentral. Lineage: Eukaryota; Viridiplantae; Streptophyta; Magnoliopsida; Arecales; Arecaceae.
GGGGGAGAGGAUUUCGACUAUGGCUAAUUUGCUUGACAAAUAGAGCUGGCAUGAUUGUCAGUGGGGCAAGAAAGAUAGGAAAAGGAGCAAUUUUGAAACUUACCGAGAUUCAUCAUGCUUCUCCAUGCCCGGUAAGAUGUUCUUAUAGUAACUAGUGAAAUUAUUCUGUUGUUUAACAUCAGUUUGAAUCAGUCUGGUUGUAAGCUAGAAAAAAAAGAUGGUAUAGCUUGUUAGCCUAGAUGUACAAAUAUAAUUGAUAUAUCAAUAAUUCAAUAUUUCUAAUAUUUAUAAAUAGUAAAUAAGAAGAAUAAACUAGCAAAUUAUUUACUUGACA